ACCCCUUCUUUGAGGCUUACAUGGAUAUUCUCUAAUCCGUAAGAUAGAAAUAAAUGACACCUACUUUGUGGAGGAGUUGAAAAAAGUUGCAAAUGGAUUUUUGGAGCUGGGAGUUGGAAUGGGAGCUUGCUCCGUCCACUCCACGCAUCGACCUGGUAUUGCAGUACUUCCAGGAACGGUGCACCCAAA
This is a small nuclear RNA of Dama dama (fallow deer), 189 nucleotides long. RefSeq annotates it as U2 spliceosomal RNA. Lineage: Eukaryota; Metazoa; Chordata; Mammalia; Artiodactyla; Cervidae. The transcript has a single exon. The record is from RefSeq and is a predicted model, not a curated record.